UACAGAGGUCUCAAGCGUUGUUCGGGUUCAUUGGGCGUAAAGGGUGCGUAGGCGGCGCGGUAAGUCGGGUGUGAAAUCUUGGAGCUUAACUCCGAAACUGCAUUCGAUACUGCCGUGCUUGAGGACUGGAGAGGAGACUGGAAUUUACGGUGUAGCGGUGAAAUGCGUAGAUAUCGUAAGGAAGACCAGUGGCGAAGGCGGGUCUCUGGACAGUUCCUGACGCUGAGGCACGAAGGCCAGGGGAGCAAACGGG
Molecule: ribosomal RNA, 253 nt
Filed under: uncultured bacterium
Lineage: Bacteria
Description: partial 16S ribosomal RNA
Rfam family: Bacterial small subunit ribosomal RNA
Source: RNAcentral